RNAcentral lists this long non-coding RNA (585 nucleotides) under Cavia porcellus (domestic guinea pig). RNAcentral describes it as "lncRNA (ENSCPOG00000035551.1)". Lineage: Eukaryota; Metazoa; Chordata; Mammalia; Rodentia; Caviidae. The record is from RNAcentral.
CGGGCCCUGAAGGUGGUUCGGACUUGGGUUUGGUCCAGUACAAUACACCAGAGAUGGGGAAAGAGACACCUGUUCAGCCAUUUAUUGAAAAUAAUCAGUCUCUCUUCCAGACUCUCAGACAUCUGAACUGGUCACACCUGGGACUGCUGUGAGCGAAGCAGCUGAAAGAACCCUCGGCCCGGCAGGGAGAGCGUGGCACCAUCCCGGACACUGCAGCUGGACGCCUGACCCUGCCCAGCCUCUCUUCCCUCCCCAAGAGUUGCUGUGUGCCGUGUGCAUCUGUACGGCAUUAGAAAUAUUUGUUAUUUUUCAAGGUGCGUCUCACUCUGUUGCUGAGGUAGCCUUGGACUCCUGAAUUCAAGCCACCCUCCUGUCUUAGCCUCUGAGCAGCUGAGAUUACGGCCACCCAACACUGCGGACAACUCCUCUUGAUUCCAAAUGACUAUUUUGCUUUAGCUAUAUAAUCACAUCACCUUCAAAUGCUGAGAACUUGGUCCUUUGCUCUCCAAAAAAUUGUAUUUGUUCAUAUCUAAUUGUACCAAUGGUAUUUUUAGAACAUCCUAAAUAAAAACAGUGAUAUCAACA